Molecule: ribosomal RNA, 123 nt
Filed under: Petromyzon marinus (sea lamprey)
Lineage: Eukaryota; Metazoa; Chordata; Hyperoartia; Petromyzontiformes; Petromyzontidae
Source: RNAcentral
GCCAUUCACCAAAUCUCCCAUAAAUGUGCCCGAUCUCGUCGCAUCUCAAAAGCUAAUCAGGUUUGAGCCUGGAUAGUGCUCGGAUGGGUGGCCACCACGCAUAAGACACGGGUGUUAUAGGCU